Small nucleolar RNA from Artibeus jamaicensis (Jamaican fruit-eating bat), 129 nucleotides. RefSeq annotates it as small nucleolar RNA SNORA38. The transcript has a single exon. Lineage: Eukaryota; Metazoa; Chordata; Mammalia; Chiroptera; Phyllostomidae. The record is from RefSeq and is a predicted model, not a curated record.
CCCUCUUACAAAGACAUGUAGCUUUCCCUGUCUUUGGACACCCAAGAACUGGAGGCCAAGAAACACGGACUUGAAGAAAUCUGCGGCCAGCUCUCUCCCUGCAGGCUCAAGACCAACCAUCCCACACAG